This is a long non-coding RNA of Juglans microcarpa x Juglans regia, 510 nucleotides long. RefSeq lists it as uncharacterized. Lineage: Eukaryota; Viridiplantae; Streptophyta; Magnoliopsida; Fagales; Juglandaceae. The transcript has 2 exons. The record is from RefSeq and is a predicted model, not a curated record.
GUCGUCGCCAGAGAUGAGACACUGAUGUGUUAAAAAUCGAUAUGAGUUGCCACAUUGAUGGGUUUAUUGCUGUAGUGGCGCAUACUGAUCAUGUUCUACAGGAAAGCCCAGUUACUGAAAGGGCAGCUAAUGUUAUUGCCGCAGCUAAUACUGCUGCAGAGGUUAACCUCAAGAAAUCAGGGGACCACCCACUUUAAAUACUGCUGCAAACGGGUAGUGAAGUGCGGCAGAAAAUACGAGUCAUCAUGUUAACCAUGGACUAUAUAUUUGAUAUUUGUUGGGAUAGAGUAUAGUGCAUAUCAAGAUGCUACCUAGAUGGUCCACCUACACAAGAAUUGGAACUAUCAGGUUAUGAAAUAUAUAAAUUGGUAUACUUGAAUAUUAUUAUUACUUAUAAGAAAAAAAAUCAUUUUUCCUAUGAGUUGCGUCAUGCUCAUGUGAACUGCACUUGAACAAAGUGAUUGGGUAGUAAAAGGGACUUUGUGUCUAUGAUUAAAGUUGUUCGACCUG